CUAUGGUUCCUUAGAUCGUACCUACUACAUGGAUAACUGUAGUAAUUCUAGAGCUAAUACAUGCCACUAUGCCCUGACCCGCAAGGGAACGGGUGGAUUUAUUAGAACAGAACCAACCGGUUGUGGCUUCGGCUGCUUCCGUUGCAUUCUGUGAUGACUCUGGAUAACUUCACUGAUCGCAGUCGGCCUUGUGUCGGCGACGGAUCUUUCAAAUGUCUGGCCUAUCAAUUUUCGAUGGUAGGUGAUCUGCCUACCAUGGUGAUAACGGGUAACGGGGAAUCAGGGUUCGAUUCCGGAGAGGGAGCCUGAGAAACGGCUACCACUUCCAAGGAAGGCAGCAGGCACGCAAAUUACCCAAUCCCGGAACGGGGAGGUAGUGACGAAAAAUACGGAUACGGGACUCGUAUGAGGCUCCGUAAUUCGAAUGAGUACAAUUUAAAUCCUUUAACGAGGAUCAACUGGAGGGCAAGUCUGGUGCCAGCAGCCGCGGUAACUCCAGCUCCAGAAGCGUAUAUUAAAGUUGUUGCAGUUAAAAAGCUCGUAGUUGGAUCUGGGUCGUAUGGCUAUGUGCCGUCUCUCGCAUUCUCGGCUUGGUUACGACUAGGUCAAGUUUGUGGGUCGGUGUCGUGGCUGUGCAGCCUUUAUACCGUGUCUGUUUCGACAGGUGCCGACUUAUUCAAUGAGCUUGCUCGUUGAUGUGUUGGCAUGCUUCCAGAUGCCUUUGAACGGGUGUCGGAGGCGGACGGUGCGUUUACUUUGAACAAAUUAG
This 769-nucleotide ribosomal RNA is filed under the name Trematoda environmental sample. RNAcentral's name for it is "SSU rRNA". It matches the Rfam family "Eukaryotic small subunit ribosomal RNA", at positions 110 to 769 of the family's 1831-position model. Lineage: Eukaryota; Metazoa; Platyhelminthes; Trematoda. The record is from RNAcentral.